Molecule: long non-coding RNA, 378 nt
Filed under: Anas platyrhynchos platyrhynchos (common mallard)
Lineage: Eukaryota; Metazoa; Chordata; Aves; Anseriformes; Anatidae
Description: lncRNA (ENSAPLG00000027548.1)
Source: RNAcentral
ACCACCCCCACCCCCCGUCCCCGUCCCCCACCUCCACCAUGGCCGGGUGCUGCGCCCGGCGGGCGUCCAGGUGAGCCAGCAGCGCCUGCGCCAGCACCGCCGUGUCCUCGGGGCCCCUGGGGACACGGGGACGUGGGACAGGGGGACACGGGGACAGGGGACAGGGGGACACAGGUUUUGGGGACAUAGGACAUGGGACACAGGGACAGGGGGAUAUGGGGGCAGGGGACAUGGGACACAGGGACAUGGAUGUUGGGGACAGGGGGACGUCGGUGUUGGGGACGGGACAUGGGACAUGGGGAGAUGGGGACAUGGGGACAGAGUGACAUGGGGACACAGAAACAGUGACAUGGGGACAUCGGUUGGGGACAUGGGGAC